UACGUAGGGGGCAAGCGUUAUCCGGAUUUACUGGGUGUAAAGGGAGCGUAGACGGCAUAGCAAGUCCGGAGUGAAAGCCCGGGGCCCAACCCCGGGACUGCUCUGGAAACUGUUAAGCUUGAGUGCGGGAGGGGCAGGCGGAAUUCCUGGUGUAGCGGUGAAAUGCGUAGAUAUCAGGAGGAACACCGGCGGCGAAGGCGGCCUGCUGGACCGUAACUGACGUUGAGGCUCGAAAGCGUGGGGAGCAAACAGG
This 253-nucleotide ribosomal RNA is filed under the name uncultured bacterium. Its description in RNAcentral is "partial 16S ribosomal RNA". It matches the Rfam family "Bacterial small subunit ribosomal RNA", at positions 524 to 776 of the family's 1533-position model. The record is from RNAcentral.